AUUGAACGCUGGCGGCAUGCUUUACGCAUGCAAGUCGAACGGUAACAGGCCUUCGGGUGCUGCCGAGUGGCGAACGGGUGAGUAAUGCAUCGGAACGUGCCCAGAGGUGGGGGAUAACGCAGCGAAAGCUGUGCUAAUACCGCAUGUGAUCUGAGGAUGAAAGCGGGGGACCAGGCAGCAAUGUUUGGUCUCGCGCCUUUGGAGCGGCCGAUGUCAGAUUAGGUAGUUGGUGGGGUAAAGGCCUACCAAGCCGACGAUCUGUAGCUGGUCUGAGAGGACGACCAGCCACACUGGGACUGAGACACGGCCCAGACUCCUACGGGAGGCAGCAGUGGGGAAUUUUGGACAAUGGGCGCAAGCCUGAUCCAGCAAUGCCGCGUGCGGGAAGAAGGCCUUCGGGUUGUAAACCGCUUUUGUACGGAACGAAAAGGCUCUGGCUAAUACCUGGGGCUGAUGACGGUACCGUAAGAAUAAGCACCGGCUAACUACGUG
This 492-nucleotide ribosomal RNA is filed under the name uncultured bacterium. Its description in RNAcentral is "partial 16S ribosomal RNA". It matches the Rfam family "Bacterial small subunit ribosomal RNA", at positions 30 to 507 of the family's 1533-position model. The record is from RNAcentral.